CAAUAGCGUAUAUUAAAGUUGUUGCAGUUAAAAAGCUCGUAGUUGAACCUUGGGCCUGGCUGGCCGGUCUGCCUCACCGCAUGCACUGGUCCGGCCGGGCCUUUCCCUCUGGGGAUCCGCAUGCCCUUCACUGGGUGUGUCGGGGAACCAGGACUUUUACUGUGAAAAAAUUAGAGUGUUCAAAGCAGGCCUAUGCUCGAAUACAUUAGCAUGGAAUAAUAGAAUAGGACGUUGCGGUUCUAUUUUGUUGGUUUCUAGGACCGCCGUAAUGAUUAAUAGGGACAGUCGGGGGCGUCAGUAUUCAAUCGUCAGAGGUGAAAUUCUUGGAUCGAUUGAAGACUAACUACUGCGAAAGCAUUCGCCAAGGAUGUUUNCAUUAA
RNAcentral lists this ribosomal RNA (380 nucleotides) under uncultured eukaryote. Its description in RNAcentral is "partial 18S ribosomal RNA". It matches the Rfam family "Eukaryotic small subunit ribosomal RNA", at positions 592 to 976 of the family's 1831-position model. The record is from RNAcentral.